RNAcentral lists this ribosomal RNA (460 nucleotides) under uncultured bacterium. Its description in RNAcentral is "partial 16S ribosomal RNA". It matches the Rfam family "Bacterial small subunit ribosomal RNA", at positions 338 to 795 of the family's 1533-position model. The record is from RNAcentral.
CCUACGGGUGGCAGCAGUGAGGAAUAUUGGUCAAUGGACGAGAGUCUGAACCAGCCAUGUCGCGUGAAGGAUGAAUGCCCUCUGGGUUGUAAACUUCUUUUAUAUGGGAAUAAAAUGUUCCACGUGUGGGAUUUUGUAUGUACCAUAUGAAUAAGGAUAGGAUAACUCCGUGCCAGCAGCCGCGGUAAUACGGAGGAUCCGAGCGUUAUCCGGAUUUAUUGGGUUUAACGGGAGCGUAGGUGGUUUGUUAAGUCAGUUGUGAAAGUUUGCGGCUCAACCGUAAAAUUGCAGUUGAAACUGGCAGGCUUGAGUACAGUAGAGGUGGGCGGAAUUCGAGGUGUAGCGGUGAAAUGCGUAGAUAUCACGAAGAACUCCGAUUGCGAAGGCAGCUCACUGGACUACAACUGACACUGAGGCGCGAAAGUGUGGGUAUCAAACAGGAUUAGAUACCCUUGUAGUC